This 221-nucleotide unclassified non-coding RNA is filed under the name root metagenome. RNAcentral describes it as "partial contains small subunit ribosomal RNA, internal transcribed spacer 1, and 5.8S ribosomal RNA". The record is from RNAcentral.
UCUCCGUUGGUGAACCAGCGGAGGGAUCAUUACUGAGUAUAUCCUACUACUCUCAACCCUUUGCGAACGUACCUGUUCUGUUGCUUCGGCAGGCCGUCCCCUGGGAGGGGCAGCCAGCGCCUGCCGGAGGCCCACAAUUCUAUGUUUUAUAGCGAAGUCUUCUCUCUGAGUUAUUGUACUGUAAUAAGUCAAAACUUUCAACAACGGAUCUCUUGGUUCUG